CUAUUGCUUCAAAUCACUGAUUUUAAAGCAACCUUUCUGAACAAUGUAAUGCCAUACAUGUGAAUUGCUGUGUGUAGUCUUUGCCCAUCUCCUACGGUGGGCUUUUUUUUAU
Non-coding RNA from Serratia marcescens subsp. marcescens Db11, 112 nucleotides. The record is from Rfam. Lineage: Bacteria; Pseudomonadati; Pseudomonadota; Gammaproteobacteria; Enterobacterales; Yersiniaceae.